Molecule: non-coding RNA, 522 nt
Organism: Misgurnus anguillicaudatus (oriental weatherfish)
Lineage: Eukaryota; Metazoa; Chordata; Actinopteri; Cypriniformes; Cobitidae
Source: RefSeq, a predicted model, not a curated record
CCGGCUAGGCACUCCGGAGCCGCUGAGAAACCUCUUCAAAUGUUAGAUAUAACAUCUCCAUUGUGGAUCGUGGACUACAGAUGACUUUUUUGUGUUGAAAGUGUUUUGGAGAAGUUGAUAAAGAGCAUGAUCGCGGAUCAACAAUGCAAGACUGGAUGUAAACAAAGCGCGUCGUCGAGGAGAGAUGGACCGGAUUAUGAGCUCAGCUGCGGUCGCUUGGAUAAAGACUUCAGCUGACACAGGAGGACUGGAAUCUGGAGUGCAUUCAUGAGCGACCAUAUUCAAAAUAGCAAGUAUUUUGUUAUAAUGUGCAAAUGUUUUUUUUCUGAAAUAGUUUUUUCUAUGUGCUUUGGUGGGCAGAGAAGUUCUGAAUUGAUAUACAUAAUGUAAUAUGUAGUCCUGACUCAUUUUCUUUUUAUAAUCAUGUCAUAUUGUUAUCAUGUGUAUAUUUGGAGUUUCCAAGUGCACUUUUUCUGAAAGGACGCCUGGACUUUUUUGAAAUAAAAGCUCACAGAAACAACA